UACGGGGGGGGCAAGCGUUGUUCGGAAUUACUGGGCGUAAAGGGCUCGUAGGCGGCCAACUAAGUCGUACGUGAAAUCCCUCGGCUUAACCGGGGAACUGCGUCUGAUACUGGAUGGCUUGAGUUUGGGAGAGGGAUGCGGAAUUCCAGGUGUAGCGGUGAAAUGCGUAGAUAUCUGGAGGAACACCGGUGGCGAAGGCGGCAUCCUGGACCAACACUGACGCUGAGUGAGCGAAAGCCAGGGGAGCAAACGGG
This 254-nucleotide ribosomal RNA is filed under the name uncultured bacterium. RNAcentral's name for it is "partial 16S ribosomal RNA". It matches the Rfam family "Bacterial small subunit ribosomal RNA", at positions 524 to 776 of the family's 1533-position model. The record is from RNAcentral.